UAGGGAAUCUUCCGCAAUGGACGCAAGUCUGACGGAGCAACGCCGCGUGAGUGAAGAAGGAUUUCGGUUCGUAAAACUCUGUUGUUAGAGAAGAACAGCGCAUAGAGUAACUGUUAUGCGUGUGACGGUAUCUAACCAGAAAGCCACGGCUAACUACGUGCCAGCAGCCGCGGUAAUACGUAGGUGACAAGCGUUGUCCGGAUUUAUUGGGCGUAAAGCGAGCGCAGGCGGUCAAUUAAGUCUGAUGUGAAAGCCCCCGGCUCAACCGGGGAGGGUCAUUGGAAACUGGUUGACUUGAGUGCAGAAGAGGAGAGUGGAAUUCCAUGUGUAGCGGUGAAAUGCGUAGAUAUAUGGAGGAACACCGGUGGCGAAAGCGGCUCUCUGGUCUGUAACUGACGCUGAGGCUCGAAAGCGUGGGGAGCGAACAGG
Molecule: ribosomal RNA, 429 nt
Filed under: Bacteroidota bacterium
Lineage: Bacteria; Pseudomonadati; Bacteroidota
Description: Bacteroidetes bacterium partial 16S ribosomal RNA
Rfam family: Bacterial small subunit ribosomal RNA
Source: RNAcentral